CAUGGUUCCUACUAUAGUGUCUACACAUCUAUGGAGGAUCAGAAGUAUUACUUAGGAGAAGAGUGGAGGGGGCCAAACAACCACUGUAAGGGCCAUUCUAGGUCACUUAUCAGCAUGACCCUUGUCAAGUUGCUUUCGUUUCUACUGGUUCUAAGCCUUAGCAUGGUUGAUUUAUUAGUAUCGGGUGGCAAGGAGUACUCGGCUAGCUGAGCAGUUUUCAAAGCCUCGGCAUAGGUAACAACCUUCAUCAUUAC
This 254-nucleotide long non-coding RNA is filed under the name Carica papaya (papaya). RNAcentral describes it as "long non-coding RNA (CPAP_LNC004095)". Lineage: Eukaryota; Viridiplantae; Streptophyta; Magnoliopsida; Brassicales; Caricaceae. The record is from RNAcentral.